CAGCCAUGCCGCGUGUGUGAAGAAGGCCUUCGGGUUGUAAAGCACUUUCAGCGAGGAGGAAGGCGUUAAGGUUAAUAACCUUACCGAUUGACGUUACUCGCAGAAGAAGCACCGGCUAACUCCGUGCAAGCAGCCGCGGUAAUACGGAGGGUGCAAGCGUAAUCGGAAUUACUGGGCGUAAAGCGCACGCAGGCGGUUUGUUAAGUCAGAUGUG
This 214-nucleotide ribosomal RNA is filed under the name uncultured bacterium. Its description in RNAcentral is "partial 16S ribosomal RNA". It matches the Rfam family "Bacterial small subunit ribosomal RNA", at positions 389 to 596 of the family's 1533-position model. The record is from RNAcentral.